Molecule: long non-coding RNA, 874 nt
Organism: Uranotaenia lowii
Lineage: Eukaryota; Metazoa; Arthropoda; Insecta; Diptera; Culicidae
Exons: 3
Source: RefSeq, a predicted model, not a curated record
UUUACAUCAACAAUGGGAAUUUGAUUCGCAGAGUUGGUUUAGAAUUUAGGAAAGGUUCGGAACGCGAAAGGAGAAAAAAAUGCAAGUUAAGUCCCGCAGAUAGCGAAUAGAGGUGACUCGACGCUGUGUAUGUCACCUGAUGUGUUUCUCGAAAAGUGAGAUUUGUUUCUCACGUCCAUCAAACAUCUGAAUCCCAUUUACAUCUAAAAUAACCAUGCAUUGCUACGGAAUUGCACCCGAUUCAGACGACUUUAAGCGUUCCCUGAAGGUCUUCGAUAAAAGAAAACUCCCGGCGGGGAUAUGCUACUGGAAAACAUUACACACCCAAAGACAACAAAAUUUUGGCGCUUGAUUGAACUGCUGCGAUCGCUGCGAUGUGAAAUGACUCCAAUUAUGUUUUGGGCUCAACGGCCGUUUAUCGAAAUCUAUAUGGAUUUUAUUAUGCUCAUCGACGUCUUGCGAAAUCCGACAGAUGACCGGAGAGCGAUGAUCGCUUCGAAAUCGCCGACAGUAGCAGUAUAUAAAAGAAAACUUUCCAAGUAGUCCGGAAAAGGCUUACGUAUGUGUGGAGGUGAGCAAGAAAAACAUCGUAGAUUGUCGUACGAAACCGCCGUGGACUUCGAAGAAUCAGCGGCAAUGAAAACCGGGUUUUAAAUUCCUCCUCGGGAGUUCAGUUUUAGAAAAUCUUGGAUUCAUAUUUAUAAGUUGAGUGAUAUCUUUCUGUUUUGAGUUCAAUGUUAGCCAAUUAUAAUAAAAACUGCAAAGAAUUGAAUUUUUCAUUAAUUUAUUUCUAAUUGGGAAAGAAAAAGCUCUAGAAUUAAAUUACGUGCAUAUUGUUUUACAUGUAGCUUGGAAUUACAGGUCACUUGUAAUU